GACGAACGCUGGCGGCGUGCUUAACACAUGCAAGUCGAACGGAAAGGCCCUGCUUUUGUGGGGUGCUCGAGUGGCGAACGGGUGAGUAACACGUGAGUAACCUGCCCUUGACUUUGGGAUAACUUCAGGAAACUGGGGCUAAUACCGGAUAGGAGCUCCUGCUGCAUGGUGGGGGUUGGAAAGUUUCGGCGGUUGGGGAUGGACUCGCGGCUUAUCAGCUUGUUGGUGGGGUAGUGGCUUACCAAGGCUUUGACGGGUAGCCGGCCUGAGAGGGUGACCGGCCACAUUGGGACUGAGAUACGGCCCAGACUCAUACGGGAGGCAACAGUGGGGAAUAGUGCACAAUGGGCGGAAGCCUGAUGCAGCAACGCCGCGUGCGGGAUGACGGCCUUCGGGUUGUAAACCGCUUUCGCCUGUGACGAAGCGUGAGGGACGGUAAUGGGUAAAGAAGCACCGGCUAACUACGU
This 467-nucleotide ribosomal RNA is filed under the name uncultured bacterium. RNAcentral describes it as "partial 16S ribosomal RNA". It matches the Rfam family "Bacterial small subunit ribosomal RNA", at positions 28 to 506 of the family's 1533-position model. The record is from RNAcentral.